AGAGUUUGAUCCUGGCUAACUCUGGCUAGCGCGCUUUAAAGCGCCCUAGAUCGCUAACACAUGCAAGUCGAACGGUAGCACAGAGAGCUUGCUCUCGGGUGACGAGUGGCGGACGGGUGAGUAAUGUCUGGGAAACUGCCUGAUGGAGGGGGAUAACUACUGGAAACGGUAGCUAAUACCGCAUAACGUCGCAAGACCAAAGAGGGGGACCUUCGGGCCUCUUGCCAUCGGAUGUGCCCAGAUGGGAUUAGCUAGUAGGUGGGGUAAUGGCUCACCUAGGCGACGAUCCCUAGCUGGUCUGAGAGGAUGACCAGCCACACUGGAACUGAGACACGGUCCAGACUCCUACGGGAGGCAGCAGUGGGGAAUAUUGCACAAUGGGCGCAAGCCUGAUGCAGCCAUGCCGCGUGUAUGAAGAAGGCCUUCGGGUUGUAAAGUACUUUCAGCGAGAGACCUAGCCCCAAUCUCUCAACGGGGGUAGCUAGACUAUAGCCGAUAGCCGCGCUAUAGCCUUUGGGAAAUGCGGUAAUACGGAGGGUGCAAGCGUUAAUCGGAAUUACUGGGCGUAAAGCGCACGCAGGCGGUCUGUUAAGUCAGAUGUGAAAUCCCCGGGCUCAACCUGGGAACUGCAUUUGAGACUGGCAGGCUUGAGUAGAGACCUCGCGCGAUAUAGCGCGUAUAGACCCUUGUAGAGGGGGGUAGAAUUCCAGGUGUAGCGGUGAAAUGCGUAGAGAUCUGGAGGAAUACCGGUGGCGAAGGCGGCCCCCUGGACAAAGACUGACGCUCAGGUGCGAAAGCGGUAGUCCACGCCGUAAACGAUGUCGACUUGGAGGUUGUGCCCUUGAGGCGUGGCUUCCGGAGCUAACGCGGCCCUGAGUACGGCCGCAAGGUUAAAACUCAAAUGAAUUGACGGGGGCCCGCACAAGCGGUGGAGCAUGUGGUUUAA
RNAcentral lists this ribosomal RNA (946 nucleotides) under uncultured Enterobacter sp. RNAcentral's name for it is "bacterial SSU rRNA". It matches the Rfam family "Bacterial small subunit ribosomal RNA", at positions 8 to 949 of the family's 1533-position model. Lineage: Bacteria; Pseudomonadati; Pseudomonadota; Gammaproteobacteria; Enterobacterales; Enterobacteriaceae. The record is from RNAcentral.